AGUGAACGCUGGCGGUAGGCCUAACACAUGCAAGUCGAACGGCAGCACAGUAAGAGCUUGCUCUUACGGGUGGCGAGUGGCGGACGGGUGAGGAAUACAUCGGAAUCUACUUUUUCGUGGGGGAUAACGUAGGGAAACUUACGCUAAUACCGCAUACGACCUACGGGUGAAAGCAGGGGAUCUUCGGACCUUGCGCGAUUGAAUGAGCCGAUGUCGGAUUAGCUAGUUGGCGGGGUAAAGGCCCACCAAGGCGACGGUCCGUAGCUGGUCUGAGAGGAUGAGCAGCCAAAAGGGAAAUGAGACACGGUCAGGACUCCUGCGGGCGGCAGCAGAGGGGAAUAUUGAAGAAGGGCCGCAAGCCGGAACCACCCAUCCGGGGGGGGUAAAGAAGGCGUGGGGUUUGUAAGCCCCUUUUGUGGGAAAAAAAAAGAAGCAGUUUAAUCCCCCCUUGUCAUGCCGGACCCAAAAAAAAAGGCUAGGGCUACCUUCGGC
RNAcentral lists this ribosomal RNA (492 nucleotides) under uncultured bacterium. Its description in RNAcentral is "partial 16S ribosomal RNA". It matches the Rfam family "Bacterial small subunit ribosomal RNA", at positions 29 to 508 of the family's 1533-position model. The record is from RNAcentral.